GAUCUGAUUAUUGAUUAUCUUGUUGUUUAUUAGAAUGUUAUUACUUUAUUUUGAUUGAAAUAUCAUUAUUGGUUGCUGUAUUUUUUAGAUUUAAUUUUUUAUACGAUAGAUUAUUUGUACCGUGUGGGGUGGAGAAAUUUAUAAAUGUUUUAAAGGAAGUUAAUUUUAUUUGUUGUACCUUGUGUAUCAGGGUUCAUUGAAUUUUAUUAUUUAUUUUUAUUUCCCGAUUUUAAAGGAGUUAAUGGCUUAUUUUAUUUAUUGUUUCAACAAUAUUAAUAAUAGGUUGUUGGUAAUGAAAUGUUAUUCGUCUUUUGUGGUUUCUGGUUUUUCAAGAAAUGAAUUCAAUUCAUGCAUCAUAUUUAAUUUCUGUUAUCAUAUUAUUUAUUUUUAUUUGAUGCUAAGAUUAAGGGGGAUUAGCUCCUUAUUCUAUUGUUAUAAUUUUUGUUUAAAUUUGGUUUUGUGGAUUUUAUAUUGAUUUUCAAUUUGAUUAUGUUAAAAUUUUACUUGUUCUUUUAUUUAUUUUAUUGUAAUUUAAUUAUUUUAUUGAAAUGUUUUCUUUACUUUUUUAUGAGUGGUAAUUAUUGUGGAAUUAGUAAAUCUUAAUUGUAUGUUGUUUAGCUGUAGAUGUUAAUUAUUGCUUAGGAAUUAGGCAAAUUAUUUAAUGUCCGCCUGUUUAACAAAAACAUCUCUUCUUGUUAGUUUUUGAAGUAUGGUCUGCCCACUGACUUAUAUGGUUGAAGGGCCGCGGUAUUUUGACCGUGCAAAGGUAGCAUAAUCAUUAGUUCUUUAAUUGUGAUCUGGUAUGAAUGGCUUGACGAGGCAUUAGCUGUCUUGGUUGUAUUUUUAUUGAAUUUGGUUUUUGAGUUAAAAUUCUCAAAUGUUUUUAUGGGACGAGAAGACCCUAUAGAGUUUAACAUUUUUCUUGUUGUAUUUUUAUGUUUGUUUAUUGUUUAAAUAUGAUGAAUGUUUUGUUGGGGUGAUGGGAGGAAUUUUUUAAACUCCUCUUUAUUGAAUUGUAUAUUUAUUUAUAGUUUUGUUAUGAUCCAUUUAUUUUGAUUAUAAGAUUAAAUUACCUUAGGGAUAACAGCGUUAUCUUCCUUGAGAGUUCUUAUUGGCAGGGGGGUUUGCGACCUCGAUGUUGGAUUAAGAUAAAUUUUCGGUGUAGGAGCUGAAUUUGAUUGGGUCUGUUCGACCCUUAAAAUCUUACAUGAUCUGAGUUCAGACCGGCGUGAGCCAGGUUGGUUUCUAUCUAUAUUAUAUUUUUAUACCUUAGUACGAGAGGACCGGGUAUUUGGAAUAAUUUUAUUUGUAUUUGAUUAUUAUUAAUAUGAUACUAUUUUGGCAGACAAGUGCAUUGGAUUUAGAAUCUAUUAA
RNAcentral lists this ribosomal RNA (1374 nucleotides) under Cubitermes nr. fulvus BDIT069. RNAcentral's name for it is "16S ribosomal RNA". The stretch from base 885 to 1254 matches the Rfam family "Bacterial large subunit ribosomal RNA", at positions 2074 to 2646 of the family's 2925-position model. Lineage: Eukaryota; Metazoa; Arthropoda; Insecta; Blattodea; Termitidae. The record is from RNAcentral.